This 68-nucleotide transfer RNA is filed under the name Brachyrhynchus hsiaoi. RNAcentral describes it as "tRNA-Ser". Lineage: Eukaryota; Metazoa; Arthropoda; Insecta; Hemiptera; Aradidae. The record is from RNAcentral.
AGGGGACCAUCGAAAUAAAAGAAGCUGCUAACUAUCUUUUAAAGCGGUUAAAUUCCGUUUAUCCCUUA